Salmo salar (Atlantic salmon) is the source of this 56-nucleotide non-coding RNA. The record is from Rfam. NCBI's taxonomy places the organism in Eukaryota, Metazoa, Chordata, Actinopteri, Salmoniformes, Salmonidae.
UGUAUGCAUGCAUGACUAAGUCGCUUUGGAUAAAAGUGUCCGCUAAAUGGCAUUUA